RNAcentral lists this ribosomal RNA (458 nucleotides) under uncultured bacterium. RNAcentral describes it as "partial 16S ribosomal RNA". It matches the Rfam family "Bacterial small subunit ribosomal RNA", at positions 338 to 795 of the family's 1533-position model. The record is from RNAcentral.
CCUACGGGUGGCAGCAGUGAGGAAUAUUGGUCAAUGGGCGAGAGCCUGAACCAGCCAAGUCGCGUGAGGGAGUACUGCCCUAUGGGUUGUAGACCUCUUUUGUCGGGGAGCAAAAGCCGGACGUGUCCGGCUGUGAGAGUACCCGAAGAAAAAGCAUCGGCUAACUCCGUGCCAGCAGCCGCGGUAAUACGGAGGAUGCGAGCGUUAUCCGGAUUUAUUGGGUUUAAAGGGUGCGCAGGCGGGAGAUCAAGUCAGCGGUAAAAUGUCGGGGCUCAACCCCGGCCGGCCGUUGAAACUGGUUUUCUAGAGUUGGAGAGAAGUAUGCGGAAUUCGUGGUGUAGCGGUGAAAUGCAUAGAUAUCACGAAGAACUCCGAUUGCGAAGGCAGCAUACCGGCUCCAUACUGACGCUGAGGCACGAAAGCGUGGGGAUCGAACAGGAUUAGAUACCCUUGUAGUC